This 497-nucleotide ribosomal RNA is filed under the name uncultured bacterium. RNAcentral describes it as "partial 16S ribosomal RNA". It matches the Rfam family "Bacterial small subunit ribosomal RNA", at positions 28 to 507 of the family's 1533-position model. The record is from RNAcentral.
GAUGAACGCUGGCGGCGUGCCUAAUACAUGCAAGUAGAGCGAACAGAGGAGAAGUUUGCUCUCCGGAUGAUUUCCGCGCGCGGGUGAGUAGCGCGGGGAUACCCUCCGUAUAAGACUGGGAAAACUUCGAGACAACAGAUAUAAUACCGGAAAAGUUGUUGAUCCGUAAGGUUCAAUAGAGAAAGACGGUUUUGCUAUUACUAAUAGGUGGUUCCGCGUCGCAUUUGCUUGUUGGUAUGGUAACGGCUUACCAAGGCAACGAUUAGUAGCCGACCUGAGAGGGUGACCGGCCACACUGGAACGGAGCCACGGUCCAGACUCCUACGGGAGGCACAAGUAGGGAAUCUUCCGCAAUGGGCGAAAGCCUGACGGAGCAACGCCGCGGGAGUGAUGAAGUUCUUCGGAUCGUAAACCUCUGUUAUUGGGGAAGAACAAAUGUGUAAGUAACUAUGCACGUCUUGACGGUACCUAAUCAGAAAGCCACGGCUAACUACGUG